UAACUGUAAACGAUGCGGACUUGGUGUUGGGGUGGCUUUGAGCUGCUUCAGUGCCGAAGGGAAGCUGUUAAGUCUGCUACUUGGGGAGUACGUCCGCAAGGAUGAAACUUAAAGGAAUUGGCGGGGGAGCACCGCAACGGGAGGAGCGUGCGGUUUAAUUGGAUUCAACGCCGAAAAACUCACCAGCAGCGACUGUUACAUGAAAGUCAGGUUGAUGACCUUACUAGAUUUUCAGAGAGGGAGGUGCAUGGCGUCAGUGACU
This 262-nucleotide ribosomal RNA is filed under the name uncultured archaeon. RNAcentral's name for it is "partial 16S ribosomal RNA". It matches the Rfam family "Archaeal small subunit ribosomal RNA", at positions 748 to 1008 of the family's 1478-position model. The record is from RNAcentral.